RNAcentral lists this ribosomal RNA (497 nucleotides) under uncultured bacterium. Its description in RNAcentral is "partial 16S ribosomal RNA". It matches the Rfam family "Bacterial small subunit ribosomal RNA", at positions 28 to 507 of the family's 1533-position model. The record is from RNAcentral.
GAUGAACGCUGGCGGCGUGCCUAAUACAUGCAAGUCGAGCGAACAGACGAGGAGCUUGCUCCUCUGACGUUAGCGGCGGACGGGUGAGUAACACGUGGAUAACCUACCUAUAAGACUGGGAUAACUUCGGGAAACCGGAGCUAAUACCGGAUAAUAUAUUGAACCGCAUGGUUCAAUAGUGAAAGACGGUUUUGCUGUCACUUAUAGAUGGAUCCGCGCCGCAUUAGCUAGUUGGUAAGGUAACGGCUUACCAAGGCAACGAUGCGUAGCCGACCUGAGAGGGUGAUCGGCCACACUGGAACUGAGACACGGUCCAGACUCCUACGGGAGGCAGCAGUAGGGAAUCUUCCGCAAUGGGCGAAAGCCUGACGGAGCAACGCCGCGUGAGUGAUGAAGGUCUUCGGAUCGUAAAACUCUGUUAUUAGGGAAGAACAAAUGUGUAAGUAACUAUGCACGUCUGGACGGUACCUAAUCAGAAGGCCACGGCUAGCUACGUG